This is a long non-coding RNA of Juglans microcarpa x Juglans regia, 373 nucleotides long. RefSeq lists it as uncharacterized. The transcript is spliced from 3 exons. The record is from RefSeq and is a predicted model, not a curated record. Lineage: Eukaryota; Viridiplantae; Streptophyta; Magnoliopsida; Fagales; Juglandaceae.
UGAACGUGGACCCGUAAAGUACACCGAAUUUGAGAAAUUGUGAAAGCAUGGAAAAUGGUUGUUGAAGAUAAAUAAUGGAGAAACAACAUUGUUCUAUGAGAAUGCAUCCAUGUUUACAACACGUGUAACAUGGAUAGUUAAACAUCACUAUGACAUGAGCUACCCUAGAUGGAGUGAUGUACCCCAAGUGCAUAAGGAUGAGUUAAUCGAUCGUGUUCGGCAUGCUAAAAAGGUAAAUUUGGUGGACUUCUACAAGGAAACCCACUUGUCCAAGAAGAAUGAUAAAUUUGUGACUUCUGCCACCGAAGACAUUUAUGACAUGGUUGGAAAGCUGGAUACUCUAAAACCAGAGAAACAAAUUGACAAAGAAGCA